RNAcentral lists this ribosomal RNA (253 nucleotides) under uncultured bacterium. RNAcentral describes it as "partial 16S ribosomal RNA". It matches the Rfam family "Bacterial small subunit ribosomal RNA", at positions 524 to 776 of the family's 1533-position model. The record is from RNAcentral.
UACAGAGGGUGCAAGCGUUAUUCGGAAUUACUGGGCGUAAAGCGUGCGUAGACGGUUAUGCAAGUCAGGUGUGAAAGCCCCGGGCUCAACCUGGGAAUGCCAUUUGAGACUGCAUAGCUAGGGUACGGAAGAGGGAAGCGGAAUUUCAGGUGUAGCGGUGAAAUGCGUAGAUAUCUGAAGGAACACCAGUGGCGAAAGCGGCUUCCUGGUCCAGAACCGACGUUCAGGCACGAAAGCGUGGGGAGCAAACAGG